RNAcentral lists this ribosomal RNA (718 nucleotides) under uncultured Pseudomonadales bacterium. RNAcentral's name for it is "bacterial SSU rRNA". It matches the Rfam family "Bacterial small subunit ribosomal RNA", at positions 60 to 773 of the family's 1533-position model. Lineage: Bacteria; Pseudomonadati; Pseudomonadota; Gammaproteobacteria; Pseudomonadales. The record is from RNAcentral.
AGUCGAGCGAAUGAGAAGAGCUUGCUCUUCGAUUCAGCGGCGGACGGGUGAGUAAUGCCUAGGAAUCUGCCUGGUAGUGGGGGACAACGUUUCGAAAGGAACGCUAAUACCGCAUACGUCCUACGGGAGAAAGCAGGGGACCUUCGGGCCUUGCGCUAUCAGAUGAGCCUAGGUCGGAUUAGCUAGUUGGUGAGGUAAUGGCUCACCAAGGCGACGAUCCGUAACUGGUCUGAGAGGAUGAUCAGUCACACUGGAACUGAGACACGGUCCAGACUCCUACGGGAGGCAGCAGUGGGGAAUAUUGGACAAUGGGCGAAAGCCUGAUCCAGCCAUGCCGCGUGUGUGAAGAAGGUCCUCGGAUUGUAAAGCACUUUAAGUUGGGAGGAAGGGCAUUAACCUAAUACGUUAGUGUUUUGACGUUACCGACAGAAUAAGCACCGGCUAACUCUGUGCCAGCAGCCGCGGUAAUACAGAGGGUGCAAGCGUUAAUCGGAAUUACUGGGCGUAAAGCGCGCGUAGGUGGUUUGUUAAGUUGAAUGUGAAAGCCCCGGGCUCAACCUGGGAACUGCAUCCAAAACUGGCAAGCUAGAGUACGGUAGAGGGUGGUGGAAUUUCCUGUGUAGCGGUGAAAUGCGUAGAUAUAGGAAGGAACACCAGUGGCGAAGGCGACCACCUGGACUGAUACUGACACUGAGGUGCGAAAGCGUGGGGAGCAAAC